UACGUAUGGUGCAAGCGUUAUCCGGAUUUACUGGGCGUAAAGGGAGCGCAGGCGGCGCGCCAAGUCUGAUGUGAAACCCCGGGGCUCAACCCCGGGCAUGCAUUGGAACCUGGCGGGCUGGAGUGCCGGAGAGGUAAGCGGAAUUCCUAGUGUAGCGGUGAAAUGCGUAGAUAUUAGGAGGAACCCCAGUGGCGAAGGCGGCUUACUGGACGGCAACUGACGCUGAGGCUCGAAAGCGUGGGGAGCAAACAGG
RNAcentral lists this ribosomal RNA (253 nucleotides) under uncultured bacterium. RNAcentral describes it as "partial 16S ribosomal RNA". It matches the Rfam family "Bacterial small subunit ribosomal RNA", at positions 524 to 776 of the family's 1533-position model. The record is from RNAcentral.